GACGAACGCUGGCGGCGUGCUUAACACAUGCAAGUCGAACGGAAAGGCCCUGCUUUUGUGGGGUGCUCGAGUGGCGAACGGGUGAGUAACACGUGAGUAACCUGCCCUUGACUUUGGGAUAACUUCAGGAAACUGGGGCUAAUACCGGAUAGGAGCUCCUGCUGCAUGGUGGGGGUUGGAAAGUUUCGGCGGUUGGGGAUGGACUCGCGGCUUAUCAGCUUGUUGGUGGGGUAGUGGCUUACCAAGGCUUUGACGGGUAGCCGGCCUGAGAGGGUGACCGGCCGCAUUGGGACUGAGAUACGGCCCAGACUCCUACGGGAGGCAGCAGUGGGGAAUAUUGCAGAAUGGGCCGAAGCCUGAUGCAGCAACGCCGCGUGCGGGAUAACGGCCUUCGGGUUGUAAACCGCUUUCGCCUGUGACGAAGCGUGAGUGACGGUAAUGGGUAAAGAAGCACCGGCUAACUACGUG
This 468-nucleotide ribosomal RNA is filed under the name uncultured bacterium. RNAcentral describes it as "partial 16S ribosomal RNA". It matches the Rfam family "Bacterial small subunit ribosomal RNA", at positions 28 to 507 of the family's 1533-position model. The record is from RNAcentral.